AGUGAACGCUGGCGGUAGGCCUAACACAUGCAAGUCGAACGGCAGCACAGUAAGAGCUUGCUCUUACGGGUGGCGAGUGGCGGACGGGUGAGGAAUACAUCGGAAUCUACUUUUUCGUGGGGGAUAACGUAGGGAAACUUACGCUAAUACCGCAUACGACCUACGGGUGAAAGCAGGGGAUCUUCGGACCUUGCGCGAUUGAAUGAGCCGAUGUCGGAUUAGCUAGUUGGCGGGGUAAAGGCCCACCAAGGCGACGAUCCGUAGCUGGUCUGAGAGGAUGAUCAGCCAAACCUGAACUGAGACACGGUCCAGACUCCUACGGGAGGGAACAGUGGGGAAUAUUUGACAAUGGGCGCAAGCCUGAUCCAGCCAUACCGCGUGGGUGGAGAAGGGCUUCCGGUUGUAAAGCCCUUUUGUUGGGAAAGAAAAGCAGCAGGUUAAUAACCCGCUGGUCUGACGGUACCCAAAGAAUAAGCAACGGCUAACUUCGUG
RNAcentral lists this ribosomal RNA (492 nucleotides) under uncultured bacterium. RNAcentral's name for it is "partial 16S ribosomal RNA". It matches the Rfam family "Bacterial small subunit ribosomal RNA", at positions 29 to 507 of the family's 1533-position model. The record is from RNAcentral.